ACAGAGUUCAUGCCCUCACGGGUAGAUCUCCCACCCUUGAAUAUUAUACCUUCGUUGCUUUGGCAGGCCGUGGAAACACCAUGGGCUCCGGCUGAUGCGUGCCUGCCAGAGGAAACAAACUCUAUUUUUAGUGAUGUCUGAGUACUAUAUAAUAGUUAAAACUUUCAACAACGGAUCUCUUGGUUCUGGCAUCGAUGAAGAACGCAGCGAAAUGCGAUAAGUAAUGUGAAUUGCAGAAUUCAGUGAAUCAUCGAAUCUUUGAACGCACAUUGCGCCCCUUGGUAUUCCGAGGGGCAUGCCUGUUCGAGCGUCAUUACAACCCUCAAGCCUGGCUUGGUAUUGGGCUUCGCCACUCACCUGGCGGGCCUUAAAAUCAGUGGCGGUGCCGUCGAGGCCCUGAGCGCAGUAAAUAUCCUCGCUAUAGGGACCCGGCGGUUGCUUGCCAACAACCCCAACUAUUAUAAGGUUGACCUCGGAUCAGGUAGGGAUACCCGCUGAACUUAA
RNAcentral lists this ribosomal RNA (504 nucleotides) under uncultured fungus. Its description in RNAcentral is "eukaryotic LSU rRNA". The stretch from base 160 to 313 matches the Rfam family "5.8S ribosomal RNA". Lineage: Eukaryota; Fungi. The record is from RNAcentral.